CCGGUUGGGAGGGGUGGGGCCGAGCGCUGUGAAGUGAGGAGGGCGAGGCCCCGGUUUGUUUAACUGACCAGCGUAGCCUCUGUUUUGUCUUUGGUGGACAACGUCCUUUGCUGGGAAGCUAGUCUACACACCACUCCACUGAAGCACCUCUAUGAAGGGAACAUGUGAAGAGGAACAAAAGCCUCCAUCGACAACCACACCAACUUACCAGCCAUGACAUUAUUCCUACAGAGGAAAAUUGGACUAAGAAGAGGUAGACUUGAUUUAAUGAUAGAUUGAUCAUGAUGAGGAAACUGAGAACCAUAAAGUCACUCCAGCCUUCUGACUUCAGACCGUAGUUUAAUGAACUGUGCAGAGGGACUAGUAGCAGCAAUGGAGGAAGAUGAUCUGAAAAGCAAAAAGCAGCUCACUAGACUUUAAUCACCAAAAAUGAUUACUUCAAAUGAAGGAUUCAUACUAUCCCUUCUUCUAUACUUUAUGCAUAAUGUCUAUGAAUCACAACAUCAGUUAAAUUUCCACUUUUAUAAAGUAUUUUCUUUUAUUCUUCACUCAUUCUUUUCUUUCUUUCUUUCUUCUUCUUCUUCUUCUUCUUCUUCUUCUUCUUCAACAUCAUCACAUGUAACACAAGUUACAGUGUUAACUGUAAAUUGUGCAUUGCACUAUACUAUUUCUUAAUAAAAUAAUCAACCAAUCAAAAAGUCCUUACCUUCUAUUUCCUAGUAUGCUGAGGAUUUUAACAAAUGUCCACUUCCCUUCAGUAAAGCAAAACAAUCCCUGCCUACACAAAUUUUGACAAGAUGCUGCACAAUACAAAAUAACGCAAAAUAAAAAUGCGUAAAACAGAGACAGAG
Molecule: long non-coding RNA, 851 nt
Organism: Leopardus geoffroyi (Geoffroy's cat)
Lineage: Eukaryota; Metazoa; Chordata; Mammalia; Carnivora; Felidae
Exons: 4
Source: RefSeq, a predicted model, not a curated record